RNAcentral lists this ribosomal RNA (251 nucleotides) under uncultured bacterium. RNAcentral's name for it is "partial 16S ribosomal RNA". It matches the Rfam family "Bacterial small subunit ribosomal RNA", at positions 524 to 776 of the family's 1533-position model. The record is from RNAcentral.
UACGAGGGUGCAAGCGUUAAUCGGAAUUACUGGGCGUAAAGCGUACGCAGGCGGUUUGUUAAGCGAGAUGUGAAAGCCCCGGGCUCAACCUGGGAACUGCAUUUCGAACUGGCAAACUAGAGUCUUGUAGAGGGGGUAGAAUUUCAGGUGUAGCGGUGAAAUGCGUAGAGAUCUGAAGGAAUACCGGUGGCGAAGGCGGCCCCCUGGACAAAGACUGACGCUCAGGUACGAAAGCGUGGGGAGCAAACAGG